This 1092-nucleotide long non-coding RNA is filed under the name Linum usitatissimum (flax). RNAcentral's name for it is "long non-coding RNA (LUSI_LNC003553)". The record is from RNAcentral. Lineage: Eukaryota; Viridiplantae; Streptophyta; Magnoliopsida; Malpighiales; Linaceae.
AAUCUUCGCUCCGUUUCCAAUUGAUGAUAACCUUUCAGUCCAAUCGGUCUCCGACACUCUUUCUCUGUCCAAAAGCUCUAAAAUAUGUGUCGAAAUAAUGAUGUCCCGUCCAAAGGGUUGCUAGGGCUUUUAUAGGCUUCUCGUCCCGAUCCAAGAGGAAAAAUGAUUAAAAAUCCGUCUGGCGUGGAACACCCCCUCGGACACGCCGUGCUCCUGGCCGUGUUCAGCCCCUGUGACUUUUAGCCCAUUUUUUCAUCAUCAGGACAUGCCGUGUUCCAUAUGGAACACGCCUUGGGACACGCCGUGUUCUACGCCGUGUUCCUCCCCUGUAAGUUUUUCGCCCUUUUUCACGCGCGGAACACGUCGUGUUCCUGUCCAGCUGCUCUUAAUCAGUCUGUUUCCGCUCCCGCUUAUCCUCAAACACCGUGUAUUGCCUGAAAAUGUAUCAAAAACACACCGUACACGUAAUAUGGCCCCCAGGGGCAAGAGAACGAACAUGUGCUAGAGAUCCAGGGUUUAAACACUUUUCGACACACAAAAGGCUCAUUUUACAAUGAAAAAGGUGUGUCGAAUAUGCAACACAUCAUUAAACGUGUUAAAAAUGAAAAAGAAACCACUAUCAUGAAAAUUCAUAGUGACAAUGGAGGUGAAUUUGUGAACAAGGAUUUCAGUGACUUAUGUAAUAGUUUAGGAAUUCAACAUGUCUUUUCUGCUCCGAGAUCUCCUCAACAAAAUGGAGUAGUCGAAUGAAAGAAUCGUACCUUAGUUGAAAUUCCUCGAACAAUGUUAAAUGACUCCAACAUUCCUUUAAAGUUCUGGGGUGAAGCGGUUAACACUUCCUGUUAUAUUAUUAAUAGAGCUAUUGUUAGAUCUAAGAUUAAUAAACCCCCCUAUGAACUGUGGAAAGGUAGAAAGCCUCACAAUGGAUACUUUCGUCCCUUUGGAUGUAAGUGUUUCAUCUUGAACACUACGGAUAACCUUGGUAAAUUUGAUGCCAAAUCCGAUCAAGGACUAUUUCUAGGAUAUUCUGAUCAUAGUAGGGCUUAUCGCAUUUAUAAUAAACGGAGUAUGAGAGUUGAAGAAUCUAUUAAC